GCCCUCUAGCAGCACCAUUUUUUCUCCAAAAUUGUCCACUUCUGUUUAAGAAAACCAACACGGUGGCAUCCAAUGCCCAAUGCUUUGAUAAAGCUUUGCAUGAUGUCAAGUUGUACAUCCAUUAUUCUAACUUUUUUACAGUUUUGCUCCAGAUCGGCUGCAGACUCUGAGUGGGCCAACAUUAACUGUUUUUUUUCUUCUGAUGCAAUAGUUGCAUCUGUUAGAAAUAAAAAUAGAUGCCACAUUCAGGAAAAUUCUCUGCUUUGACUGAUUGAAUGUGAUGAUUGUUUCCACUCAUUAUUUUCCCCUUUGGAUUGAACGGCAGCACGGAGGUGAUUUGAUUUAUGUGAUUUUUAAUUCCUUGUCACCAAUGGACGCUCUGUCCCAGUUUUACUUGAAACUUUUUGUUGAUCUGAGACCAGCUUGUUGAUUUUCCAGUUAUCACCCAUUUCUCUUCUUGCAGUCAAUCCACAGACGUCCACGCUACAUUUCACAGCGAUGUCUUAAUAGCUUAAACCAACUGCAACAAACUAUCCAUUUCUCCCUUUGAGGUUGGUCUCAAGACUGAAAUAUGAAGUUGGAGAAUAUUUAGUGAUGGAAACCACCAGAAGUGCUAAAAAUACCUCUGCCAGUCUGCUCGCCACGAGGCUCCAUCACACACUCAUUACCACACGACCUGAGGUUGGGAGGAGAGAGGAGAGAGGAGGGGAUGUGGUCAGGAGUGUGUGUGUGCGUGUGUGUGUGUGUGUGUGUGUGUGCUAAAGUUUCAGCAGUAGAAAGAGAAAGCGGAGAGAAAGUGAGGGAUGUGGUAAAUAAAAAGGGAAAGAGAAGUGGAGAAGGAUUGAAAGGAAAAAGGAGAGAUGGAUGUGAGGUGUGUGUGUGUGUCAGUCUGCACAGAGUCAAGCAUGGUUGUGGUCAGAUACAUUAGUAUUAUAUGAUAUUUCCUAUGGUCUGCUGGCAUGUCUGAAUGACGGCACAUAUUGCAACCUACUGGGCUAUUAUUGAAAUCGUGCAUCACAUCAUUUCUGAAGAAUUUGCAGUUUGUUUGUCUGGACCAAUUUUUUUUUCUAUGAUCCCCUUUCCUUUUCAUCUCUCUUUUCCUCUUAUGUCUGCUCUACUUCCAUCCUUCCAGGCACCCUCCUCUUCUCCUCUUUUUUCUGAUUUAUUCCCCUGUUUCCCUCCAUCCGUCCGUCUGUCUGUCUGCUCUUCUCUGUUCCAGCUGCCGAGUCCCUCCUGAACCAUCAAUCUUUCUCCUCUACCCGUAUCUGGCCCUCGUUCAACACACACAUACACACACAUUAAAACAUACCUUCCCACACAAACACUAGAUAAGCCCUGUGCACACACAAAUGUUCCAUGUAAAAGCAUGAACAAGCACUGAAGUACACACAUAUACACACACUCUCUUCAGGGAGCUGAGGGGCAACCCGAUCCUUCAGUCAGCCUUGGAGUGAAUCACACAGAUGGAACUUCCAGGUUUGGGUCCGUAUCUGAAAUGGAGACUAACAAGGUGAUCUGUGGCUCAGCGGGCUCAAGCCGUAUACUGGCAGGAACGUGUGUUUGAGAUACUCUACUGUCCUAUAGCAGUCUAGCAACCUCACAUGGUGGCGCCUCCAUGACAAAAAUUCCUAUCAGUCUCCUUGCGGUACAAAUGAAGCUAACUUUCCAGUUAAGUCCAGGGUCAAGUUAAACAUGAGCCGGCUUAUUUGUAUUGAUUUACAUCCAACUGAACAUUUCAAUUGAAAGUAACAUGACAGAGGUGGACUGGACUUCUGCAGGUUUAUCUAUGUUGACAUCAGCAAGUUUUAACGUUGCUGCUUUAAUCAGUGCAGUUCAGUUAUUUCAGUUAUGGGUACAAUCUAAGAAUUGUACCCAUCAGCUCUCUAGUCACAUCCUGGAUUGCAGGACAGGAUGUUGCUCCACUUCUUCAUAUUAGAGAUGGCUGGGGGCCAGUAGCCUCUCAGUCUGCUCUCACGUCUGUGCCCACUCAGUACGUUUACAUGACACACAAGAAAACCGAAUUAAUGCCUUACUCCGAUUAAGACCGGACAAUUGAGGUGCAUGUAAACACCUUAGUCCGACUAUAAUCAGAGUUUGAGAACUCCGAUUGGAGUCGGAGAACACCAAUUAAGACAGCCAGAUAAUGUGAUUGGAAUUCGAUUUUCUCUACAAUGUAACCGGCGUAGUUGGAGUAUGAUCGGACAAUGCAUGUGUGCGUGCGCCACACCCCCGUAAUCCCAAAACAAAAACACCAGAGAAGAGGAGUAGCGUGCAUCUCAUCUGCAGAAAAAGUAGCGCGUUCAUCAUGUAUGACAAAAACAAUAUUGUACGAUGCUCCACCUUCUUUCUCCUAAAUGCCCAGCAGCAGUUGUAGCCACUUCUGACAUCUGGCACAGACCUGCUGUUGUUGUAGACAUUUGUUUGGGGUCGGAAACAGCGCCGCUGAAAAGACCCAUAUCACCCCCUAGUUUAGGGGAGGAGGACAUGUUUACGUCACUAAUUCAUAUUUCUCAGCUGCAUGUAUACCCAGACAAGGAGAGAAGUCCAAUUCGGAGAAAAAAAAAGAAGUAUGAGUUCAGUCCGAUUGAGCUGUGUAUGUAAACGCACUGACUGUCACCAUGUCCUGAUUCUAGAGACCGGACUGAGAUGGGGACGAAAGUCUUUGCUAUAGUAAGUACACUUGCUUGUACUAAUAAGUUUGAGCUACAGUCAUAGCUUAGGCCAAUUCUCAAGCACCAGUAGAGAACUGUUUAUUGACAGAAGUAUGACCACUCAUGCUACUCCACAUGGUGAUAUGUCCUCUCCAACAAGCUGCUACUGGGCCGCCUCCCGAACAAAGAUGGCACAACUAUCUUUUUCUCAGCUUUGGUCAACGUUUUGUUUUCUACCUGGCUUCCUUCAACUCACUUCAAUUGUGUCAUGUUUUAAACACAACACCGUGGCUUUUGAGAUCAUGGCACUUCCACCAGUACUCAUCACCACUUCCACCCACCUCUAUCCUUUUUAAGCAGGAGGAAUUUCACAUAAGGGACAUGUAAGAAUAAGCAUCUUUGGAAAUGUUGGGAAAAGCAGAAACCUUGUAUCUUCUUUUUUAAUUCUUUUAUGUUUUAUAAAUCAAUGUCCUCAUUCACUCUUUGCAUCUUAAAAAAAAAAAGGCUCAUGACUGAAUCCAGUGCAGUUUUUGCUUUUGUGAAAACCUCUUUUUUUCUUUCAAGUGUCCUGAAAAGAAGUGGUUUUGUAGAUAUGAAGUUUCAGCCUGACAGCAUUGUAGAUGAAUAUGGAUGUGUAUAAAUGAACCUGGGGCCUGCUGCAGUUUCUAUGAGGUGUGCACUGGGAGUAUCAUUUCGUAGGGGGUUUGAAUUGUUUUAAAUUGUUCUAAAUGAGAAGUU
This is a non-coding RNA of Xyrichtys novacula (pearly razorfish), 3389 nucleotides long. The record is from the annotation of a GenBank genome assembly. NCBI's taxonomy places the organism in Eukaryota, Metazoa, Chordata, Actinopteri, Labriformes, Labridae.